Nephila pilipes (giant wood spider) is the source of this 77-nucleotide non-coding RNA. NCBI's taxonomy places the organism in Eukaryota, Metazoa, Arthropoda, Arachnida, Araneae, Nephilidae. The record is from the annotation of a GenBank genome assembly.
GGUACCAUGGUGUAACGGUUAGCACGUUGGACUUUGGAUCCAGUAAUCCGAGUUCAAAUCUCGGUGGGAAUUUGCCG